CUGACCCCUAAGCAGUGUCAUUUUAACCUUAGAUUCCUGAUUAACUUACUUGACUGGCCUGCUAUGCAUGGUAGGGUCGCCUGGAUCAACCCACCACACCCAUCUAUUUAAAACUGUUGCCUCUCAGAGCACAAGAUUCUAAGAUUCCUCCUCAAUUCCGCCUGUACAAAGUCUCCACCACUGGCUUCUAGAAUGCUCUGUUCUCCAUGGCGCUUGUAAUUAUCUACGCAUGCGUUGGUUUCUGGCCACUGUUUUGCUCUGACUACUGGACUGGUCGAUUCUUGAGACUGUCCAGGUGGCCUGUGAGGCCCCCAAAGUUGCUUGAGGCCCAGCGUGAACCCCAGGUCUGACGGUUAAACUCCUACUCCUUGUCUCCUUACGGGGAUGCCCAGACUGGCUAUUAAGACUGCAUGAAUCAAUGAGUCAAUCAGGUGUGGACCGGGUGGGGGUGGGGUAUCACUGAUCCUUGCUGCUGCUGUGAGCUAUGAACGCGCUGUCACUGGGAGUCUGGGGCCUAGGGUGGAAAACAUUAUUAAAAUGCCGAUGAGUACAUUUCUAUGACUACCUGACCAAGACAGGAGAGGAAAAGAGCAAACUGGCCCUGGGAGAGUAGUUACAGAGUCCCGGAGAGUUUCUCCUACUUCAGCCUCCCAAGCACCACGAUCCCAGGUGCACUCUACCUGAUCUACUUCUGCCGCUCUCUUUCUAAGUUGACCGGAAGAGACCUCUAGCUAGACACUUUUCUGAUUCAUUCUUUUAAAAGCCAUUUGUUUUUAAUUAGAGUGCCUGUGCCCAGAGGCAUCCAUACCCCUAUCCCCACCCCCAGAACCGGAGGCACAGAGGGUUGUGAACCACCUGAUAUGGGUGCUGGGGACUGAACCCCGGUCCCUUUUUAGGACCCUUAACGGCUGAGCCUUCUCUCCAGCACCUCUAGCUUAUUCAAUGUGCAUGGGUGCAUGGGUGCAUGCGUGCAUGUGUGUGAUAGGUGAGGGUGCUGGGGCCUGAACCUAUGGCCUAGCGCUUACCAGACAGAUGCUCUACCACUGAGCACCAUUCACAGACUCCUAAUUAUUUUACAUCUUCUAGAUCCAGCCAACUUGUUAGCAGGUCCUCUUAAUUUAUGUAUGAGAACCACCCACAGAACUCAAAAAGAAGCCCAAAGGCCCAUCCUAGCUCCCCAACCCUGGUUAGAGUCUAGUUGAAGGAGGGGGGAGUCAGUGGUGUGUGUGUGUAUGUGUGUGUGAGUGUGUGUGUGUGUAUGUGUGUAUGUAUGUGUAUGUGUGUGGUGUGCAUGUGUAUGUGUGGUGUGUGUGUAGGGUGUUUGUGUGUGUGGUGUGUAUGGGUGUGUAUCAAUGUGUGUGUAUGUGUUUUGUCUAUGUAUGUGUGUAUGUGUUGUGUGUAUGUAUGUGUGUGCAUGUGUAUGUGUAUGUGUGGUGUGUUUGCAUGUGUGUGGUGUGUGUGUAGUAUGUGUGUGUUAUGUGUUGUGUGUGUUCGUGUGUGCGGUGUGCAUGUGUGUGUAUGUAUGUGUAUGUGUGUGUGUAAUGUGUUUCUGUGUACGUGUAUGUGUGGUAUGUGUAUGUGUGUGUGGUGUGUAUGUGUAUGUAUGAUGUGUGUGUAUGUGUGUGUGGUGUGCAUGUGUGUAUGUAUGUAUAUGUGUGUGUGGUGUGUAUGUGUAUGUAUGAUGUGUGUGUAUGUGUGUGUGGUGUGCAUGUGUGUAUGUAUGUGUAUGUGUGUGUGUAAUGUGUUUGUGUGUAUGUGUAUGUGUGCCUGUGUGCGUGUGUGUGUGUAUGUGUAAUGUGUUUGUGUGUAUGUGUAUGUGUGGUAUGUGUAUGUGUGUGUGGUGUGUAUGUGUAUGUAUGAUGUGUGUGUAUGUGUGUGUGGUGUGCAUGUGUGUAUGUAUGUAUAUGUGUGUGUGGUGUGUAUGUGUAUGUAUGAUGUGUGUGUAUGUGUGUGUGGUGUGCAUGUGUGUAUGUAUGUGUAUGUGUGCGUGUGCGUGUGCGUGUGCGUGUGCGUGUGUGUGCCUGUGUGCGUGUGCGUGUGUGUGUGUGUGUGUGUGUGUGUGUGUGGUGAUGGUGGUGUUUGAAUCAGUCUCAUGUUACCUUAGCUGGGCUAGAACUCACGGUGUUCUGUAGCAAGGCUGGCCUUACAUUCCUGCCUCUACCUCCUGAGUGGGCAGAUCUGUUUUUAUCUUUUGAAGAGGGUCUACAUCAUGGUCAGUAUUGAUUGUCAACUCAAAGACUCUAGACUCACCAACUUCUAGGCUUGCCUGUGAGGGGAUUUUGAGGUCAGCCUCCAGGACCCUCAGGAGGGAUUAUUUAGAUGAAGUUGGUUGGAUGUAGGUGGCUCCCACUCAUGAACUGAAUGAGAGCUGGGUGUCUCAUCUAUCCCUUUCUACCUCCUGGCUGUGGGUGCCAUGUGCCAGUCUACCUCAGGCUCCUGCUGACCUCACAACUUCUCGCCACCAUGGGCUCUACCCUGGAACUGUAAGGCAAAGUAAAUUCUUUCUCCCUUAAGUUGCUUUGCCAGUUUUUUGUUGUUUUGUUUUGUUUUGUUUGCGAUAAGGAGAAAAGUAACACAACCCUGUCAUGCGGUCGUGUGACCUUUCCUCAGAGAACAAACAUCUGCUCAGCACCAGCAGGCUAUAGUAAGAAUUCUACACUGCACUUGCUAAAACCGUGAGUUCGCUGGACUUCCUUAUAGGGCAGGAAUGAGGAACUACUUCCAGGAGCCAGGAUGACUCAAAGACAGUUGCACCACGAAAAAGAGAAAAAAGCUCACCCCAGUGUGGACAAUACAAACACUGUGUUCUGAUAGAGGUGGGAAAGGCUCCAGGCUGUGAUGGGUACCAGUGGCCAGAAAUGGAGGCUGAAAACCUCUGGGUAACCCGCACUUCCUCAUUUUACCUCCCCCAUAUCCAUGAGAUACCCCUCAAAGGUCAAGAGAGGACUGAGGUGAGGACUUAACUGAGAACCCUUCUCAGUUUGAUGAACUUUCCUCUGAUUGGUCCCUAUUUUCACCUAUUUUGCAUACAUACAACUAGCCAGUUAGAACCUUCUUGGACUUAUUAAAAACCCCUAGACCCACUCUCUUCAAUGGCAAAUACUUUCUCUUUUUCAAUAAAUUUAUCAUAAGGAAACUUACAAAUGGGUCACCAAAAUUAAUGAGACUCAAAGUCUGUGCAACUUAGUGAAUUUGUAUAGCAUUAGAGUAGGCUCUCAAAGUGCAAGCCACAUAGCUUCACAUUAUGUCACACUUUCAGUAUUAAAUAUAUUUUAUGCAUUUAUCCACAGCCAAGGAGCAAACGCAGGCAAGGGGCAGGAGUUGUGAAGGAGGAUUUAAAGCUAGUUGUUUUUCGAGUUCUAUUUCUGUCAGGGAGUUUUUGGCGUUGGUGGUGAACUUGACCACUGUCCUUGCUGCUGCCCAUCUAGAGCUUUCUCUUUCCCUUUGGUUUAUAAACCUUGCUCUGCUCCCUUUCUGUUCCUUAUUCUUAUAGGUCAGGAGACAAGAAGUAUGCAGAGAAGAAAAUCUGCAGUCAUUCCCGGGACAGAGGGUGGAUCUCCCUUCCCAGUCAUCACUGUUAUCUGUUAUUACUUGUACAAGGAGGGGGCAUAGGAAUCUAGUUAUAGCUUUCUCAGACUUGUAAGUUCUGUUUACCUUCCGAACAGACUUCCCUCUCCCUCCGGGAGCCAGAAACCGUUACCCACAAUCACACACCGAGCUUUGGAGGCCAAGACUUGCACUCCAUUGGUCCCAGCUUUCCCAGUAACUGUUGUCAUAAGCACGUGACCAUAUACGUGUGCUACCACGCCUGGUUUGUAAUGUUUAGAUUUAUUUUACGUGUACGAGUGUUUUGCCUGUAUGCAUGUACAUAUACCACAUGCAUGCCUGCUGUCCAAAGAAGCCGGAAGAGGGUGUGGGAGCUCCGGAACUGGAGAUGUAGAUGAUCUUGAGCCAUUGUGUGGGUGUUGGGAACCAACCCCGUAUCCUCUACAGAAGCAGCAAGCGCUCUUAACGCCAGCCACCUCUCCAGCCCCAGGGCAUUUUGGUGAAGAACCAGAUAUGGUUUUUGAUGUGGUUGUAAGAGUCACAGCCGUGUGUGGGGGGGGGGGGCGGGUUUCCAAUUUGUGAGAGUCCCUCCCUCUCUCUGUGGAAGAGAGGACAAAGCUUGCUCCACGCAUACUGGGCGCCUAGAGCCCCGCCCACUUUUGCUUUAGAACCGAACCUGAGUUUAUGCAUCCGGUAGGCUCAGUCCCAACUGCAGGACUCCAUCAUUGCCGCCCCAGUCUCCAAAAUGUCCGUACAGAUCAACCCCGAGAGUGAAGUGAAUCCAACAGUGACAUCGACAGCGUAGACUAAUAUGUUAAAACGCUGGCUGCAGAGAAGAACCCGCUGCUCUAAGAAGGUUCCGCUAUCACGAAUGGGACUUCCGUUCUGUGUUCCCCCGUUCAAGAGAGCCGGAGACACUUGGCUGAGCUUUUUAAAUCUUUCUUUAACUGAUAUCUCACUUGUUAAAAUCUGUUGUCUGUUAUGUACACGGUAUGGCCAUAGGCAUCAAAUCUGUAUGUGACUACAUCAGGGCAUCGUGGCCCAAAACCUAGUAGCAGUCUUCAUAAGGUGAAACAGGGGGAUUCCAAGUUCAAGACCAGCCUGGAUUCCUUAGUAAGAUUCUAUCUCAAAAAAAUAAAGAUAUUUGGGAAGGGGAACAUUUGAGAUGUAAAUAAAUAAAAUAAUUCGAAAAGUCAUUAA
Non-coding RNA from Rattus norvegicus (Norway rat), 4746 nucleotides. The record is from RefSeq and is a predicted model, not a curated record. NCBI's taxonomy places the organism in Eukaryota, Metazoa, Chordata, Mammalia, Rodentia, Muridae.